Molecule: ribosomal RNA, 497 nt
Filed under: uncultured bacterium
Lineage: Bacteria
Description: partial 16S ribosomal RNA
Rfam family: Bacterial small subunit ribosomal RNA
Source: RNAcentral
GAUGAACGCUGGCGGCGUGCCUAAUACAUGCAUGUCGAGCGAACAGACGAGGAGCUUGCUCCUCUGACGUUAGCGGCGGACGGGUGAGUAACACGUGGAUAACCUACCUAUAAGACUGGGAUAACUUCGGGAAACCGGAGCUAAUACCGGAUAAUAUAUUGAACCGCAUGGUUCAAUAGUGAAAGACGGUUUUGCUGUCACUUAUAGAUGGAUCCGCGCAGAAUUAGCUAGUUGGUAAGGUAACGGGUUACCAAGGCAACGAUGCGUAGCCGACCUGAGAGGGUGAUCGGCCACACUGGAACUGAGACACGGUCCAGACUCCUACGGGAGGCAGCAGUAGGGAAUCUUCCGCAAUGGGCGAAAGCCUGACGGAGCAACGCCGCGUGAGUGAUGAAGGUCUUCGGAUCGUAAAACUCUGUUAUUAGGGAAGAACAAAUGUGUAAGUAACUAUGCACGUCCUGACGGUACCUAAUCAGAAAGCCACGGCUAACUACGUG